Molecule: ribosomal RNA, 67 nt
Filed under: uncultured fungus
Lineage: Eukaryota; Fungi
Description: partial 18S ribosomal RNA
Source: RNAcentral
GGAAGUAAAAAGUCGUAANCAAGGUUCUCCGUUGGUGAACCAGCGGAGGGAUCAUUACCGAGUUUAC